GACGAACGCUGGCGGCGUGCCUAAUACAUGCAAGUCGAACGCUUCUUUUUCCACCGGAGCUUGCUCCACCGGAAAAAGAGGAGUGGCGAACGGGUGAGUAACACGUGGGUAACCUGCCCAUCAGAAGGGGAUAACACUUGGAAACAGGUGCUAAUACCGUAUAACAAUCGAAACCGCAUGGCUUUGAUUUGAAAGGCGCUUUCGGGUGUCGCUGAUGGAUGGACCCGCGGUGCAUUAGCUAGUUGGUGAGGUAACGGCUACCAAAGGCCACGAUGCAUAACGGACCUUAGAGGGUGAUCGGCCACAUUGGGACUGAGACACGGCCCAAACUCCUACGGGAGGCAGCAGUAGGGAAUCUUCGGCAAUGGACGAAAGUCUGACCGAGCAACGCCGCGUGAGUGAAGAAGGUUUUCGGACCGUAAAACUCUGUCGUUAGAGAAGAACAAGGAUGAGAGUAACUGUUCAUCCCUUGACGGUAUCUAACCAGAAAGCCACGGCUAACUACGUGCCAGCCGCCGCAGUAA
RNAcentral lists this ribosomal RNA (524 nucleotides) under uncultured bacterium. RNAcentral describes it as "partial 16S ribosomal RNA". It matches the Rfam family "Bacterial small subunit ribosomal RNA", at positions 28 to 523 of the family's 1533-position model. The record is from RNAcentral.